AUGCUUCUCCUAAAGACUAAGCCAUGCAUGCCUCCGAAUAAGUUGAAGCAAUUCUCCUGAAUCUGCGAACGGCUCCGCAAAACAGUUGUAAACCAUAGCAAGCACAUCAUCCGUCCUCGCGGCGGGUGAUUAUAAGGAUAACCCUGGUAAUUCUGAGGCUAAUACUCGAUCGUAAACCUGGGCAACCGGCAACGGAAACCUAGUGGACGUGUACUAUGUCGCAGGAGCGCCAGGAAAGGACACACGUUCAGACCGUCAUACUAAACGGUCCCAGGCGACAACCUUCAUUGGGGAAACCUGGGCUCGGACGGCUCUUGCGAUGUGCUUCUGACCUAUCAACUAGAUGGCAGCGUAAGGGACAUGCUAUGGUUACAACGGGUACAGAGGAUAAGGGUUCGAUCCUGGAGAGUGGGCCUGAGAGAUUGCUCACACUUCUAAGGAAGGCAGCAGGCGCGCAACGUUCCCAUUGGGCAAUGCCCGAGGGCGUUAGGGGACAUAUGAAUGCCUGUCUUAUGAUGGGCAAUUCAAAUGGGUUUGUUGUAAACAGCCCU
RNAcentral lists this ribosomal RNA (551 nucleotides) under Physarum sp. RNAcentral describes it as "SSU rRNA". It matches the Rfam family "Eukaryotic small subunit ribosomal RNA", at positions 28 to 536 of the family's 1831-position model. Lineage: Eukaryota; Evosea; Eumycetozoa; Physariida; Physaraceae. The record is from RNAcentral.